AUGGAUUUUAUAAAACCUCACAAUCAUCAUUCAUCUCAACCUUACUCAGAAACACCAUCCACCACAAAAUCCAUCUCAAAAUUGCCUACAUUCUACUCAAAUCCACUCUUCCAUCACCUUUACUACAUCUCAACUUUAACCCUUCACUUCUCCACGAACCACAGUGAAACAGAACAUAACCCACAACACAAACACACGAUCCUAACUAUACACAGAGGAAAAUUUUCUGUAGAAACACAAUAA
Non-coding RNA from Vicia faba (fava bean), 243 nucleotides. The record is from the annotation of a GenBank genome assembly. NCBI's taxonomy places the organism in Eukaryota, Viridiplantae, Streptophyta, Magnoliopsida, Fabales, Fabaceae.